Zingiber officinale is the source of this 1222-nucleotide long non-coding RNA. RefSeq lists it as uncharacterized. The transcript has 5 exons. NCBI's taxonomy places the organism in Eukaryota, Viridiplantae, Streptophyta, Magnoliopsida, Zingiberales, Zingiberaceae. The record is from RefSeq and is a predicted model, not a curated record.
ACUCCUAUCUUCCGAUCGUUUUUGAUCCUGAGCCCUUCUCCCAACUCCUCAUCUCACGCGGCCUUCUCCAUCUAACUCCUCUCCGGCAAACCCCUCUCUGGCGAACCCCUCUCCGUGAACCACUCCUCCGAACUCCUCUCCGUCAAGACCACGGGAUUAAUCUCUUCGCCUUCGUCGCCUCAUUCACGCUUCCUUCACACUGCCCAAUCUCUUUGAUCACACCUUCAUCAAGCGGCAGAUCCCGAUGCUGAGGCGAUCGACCACGACAGAUCGACCCAUCUCUUUGCCUCCUUCGCCCCCGACGUUGAGGCAGUGUAAGCACAGCAGAUCCCAUUGUCUUCUGGUAUGCUACUAUAACCCCAAUGAUUCCUUGUCCUAGUACAAAAGGCUUUGCACCGGAAAAGAAGUGGUGUCUCCUGCCUCCGUUCCUCUUGUCUUGGCGGCGAUAGCGAGGCGCUUCGCUUGAGCUCUUCCCGAUCACCUCACCUGUUUUCCUUCUUCCUGUCCUCUAUAUCUCUCACAGUGUUGGCGGUGGGGACAAGAGGUUAGUCUCAUGAAGCUUUGAAGCUGCCAGAACAGUUGUCAUUUUAAAUUGAGCUGAAAAAUUCGAUCAACAGAGCAUUGUGCUCCUUGUUAUGGUUGUUGCCCCGGGCAACAGCAGCAAUCUAGUGUUUUGUGUGGUUUCAUUUUUUACUUGAGCAUUUUACUUGGUACAGUUUUCCAAGGGACUGGUUACAUCUAUCUGGGUUUUGAUUUGAGUCAAAGGCUGCAAUGACGAUGUUAAAUCCUUAAAUAAAUUCUCUACUCCAUGUGUGUUUUCCUUCUUUACUUCGGCAGACUUUGUGGUGGUAGUCAUGUCCAAGGAACUGGUUAGGUCGGCAGCUGCACAACAAGAAGAGCGCAUGCUAUCCGCAAAGCUUCAUCAGAUGACAAUGCUGGAUUCAUGAUUGAUAUGUUAAAGGAGUGUGGAUUAUCUCACAAAUCAAUAAUUUUUAUCUUGGAUGAGUUUGAUCUUUUUGCUCAGGGGAAAUAACGUUUACUUUAUAGUUUGCUUGAUGCAAUGCAAACAAUGACUUCACAGGCUGUAGUUUUUGGUGUUAGCUGCCGACAGAUAUGUAGUCUCCACAUCUCUCAUUUUUCUUUACAUUCAUAUUCAUGUCAAUAUACACUGGGCCACCCAUAUUUUUUAAUCUCUUUUAAAAAAGACAAGUAAAAGGAAAAA